This 510-nucleotide ribosomal RNA is filed under the name uncultured bacterium. RNAcentral describes it as "partial 16S ribosomal RNA". It matches the Rfam family "Bacterial small subunit ribosomal RNA", at positions 28 to 507 of the family's 1533-position model. The record is from RNAcentral.
GACGAACGCUGGCGGCGUGCUUAACACAUGCCAGUCGAACGAAGAGCGAUGGAAGCUUGCUUCUAUCAAUCUUAGUGGCGAACGGGUGAGUAACGCGUAAUCAACCUGCCCUUCAGAGGGGGACAACAGUUGGAAACGACUGCUAAUACCGCAUACGAUCUAAUCUCGGCAUCGAGGAUAGAUGAAAGGUGGCCUCUACAUGUAAGCUAUCACUGAAGGAGGGGAUUGCGUCUGAUUAGCUAGUUGGAGGGGUAACGGCCCACCAAGGCGAUGAUCAGUAGCCGGACGGAGAGGAUGAACGGCCACAUUGGGACUGAGACACGGCCCAGACUCCUACGGGAGGCAGCAGUGGGGAAUCUUCCGCAAGGGACGAAAGUCUGACGGAGCAACGCCGCGUGAGGGAUGACGGCCGUCGGGUUGUAAAGCUCUGUUAAUCGGGACGAAAGGCCUUCUUGCGAAUAGUGAGAAGGAUUGACGGUACCGGAAUAGAAAGCCACGGCUAACUACGUG